Long non-coding RNA from Electrophorus electricus (electric eel), 711 nucleotides. RefSeq lists it as uncharacterized. The record is from RefSeq and is a predicted model, not a curated record. NCBI's taxonomy places the organism in Eukaryota, Metazoa, Chordata, Actinopteri, Gymnotiformes, Gymnotidae.
CCCGACAUUGGAUUAGAUAACCUAAAUACAUAAUCAAAUAUAGCCAUAAUCAAAAGACAUAGGGACAAACAUUAUUGAGGGUUAUUAAUUUUUUACUGUUUUCAAAUAGUAGCAGUGGUGAGGCUGCUGUUAAAACAGAGGGAAGAGUCAGGUGAGGGAGUGAAAGAUGGAGGGAAUGAGGUCUCCCUGAAACAUGGUCAGGAAUUCUGAUAAGUGUCAUCUUGGAGUCCUGUAAGGGUUUUCCUGUAAGGUCUUAACACUUUUUUGCUGCAUUGACCCUCUUGUACGGUGUUUCUUCAGAACUGAUGCUUUUGCACAGUGCCAACCUCACCUCUUGGAUCAGUCUGACAGCUGAUUGAGACCGGAUCACUUCUCACAUCACCCGAGCACAACCUCAGUGUCACGUCAUACCAACGGGCAGGCCGAAGAUCAUAAACUUCAAGCCUCGUACCAUUUGGGUACUGAGGGCUCCUUCCUUUGACCUCCACCUCCACCCCUGUCCAUAUUCCAGAAGGAGUAUCCCAAACCACAACCAGAGCAGUUCCCCCGGCCACGUACUCACAAUACAGACCAGUCACAGUCAAAAAGGCUGGUUUAAAAAGAAGGGGGGGGGGGGGGGGGAGAGAAACAGUUGUUUACUUCUGAGGAUGCAAAACCCAUUAGAAUUAAAAGAUAAAAUAACCCUAAAGCUUUGAUUAUGAAGUCUGCUUG